GUGUUGAAAAUGGAAAUAUGGGAGAUUCACAAUCUUAGGUGCAGUGUUCUGAUGGGAUUUCUGAUGGGAUUCUAGUGACUAGUCAUUACAAGUGAUACUGAUUUCCAAAACUUCCUGCUAUGUCAAUAUCUUUCUAGAGCCUUACGCCUAGAACAAAACACAAGCUAGGCACAUAAGGCAAAGGCCUAGUGAUAUGAACUUGCCUAACACCAUCUCAAAAGCUAGCUCACAAG
Molecule: unclassified non-coding RNA, 233 nt
Filed under: Hevea brasiliensis (rubber tree)
Lineage: Eukaryota; Viridiplantae; Streptophyta; Magnoliopsida; Malpighiales; Euphorbiaceae
Source: RNAcentral